Molecule: ribosomal RNA, 473 nt
Filed under: uncultured bacterium
Lineage: Bacteria
Description: bacterial SSU rRNA
Rfam family: Bacterial small subunit ribosomal RNA
Source: RNAcentral
UAGUCCACGCCGUAAACGAUGGUCACUAGCUGUUCGGACUUCGGUCUGAGUGGCUAAGCGAAAGUGAUAAGUGACCCACCUGGGGAGUACGUUCGCAAGAAUGAAACUCAAAGGAAUUGACGGGGGCCCGCACAAGCGGUGGAGCAUGUGGUUUAAUUCGAUGAUACGCGAGGAACCUUACCAGGGCUUAAAUGUAAGUUGCAUUAGUUAGAGAUAGCUAUUUCUUCGGACCACUUACAAGGUGCUGCAUGGUUGUCGUCAGCUCGUGCCGUGAGGUGUCAGGUUAAGUCCUAUAACGAGCGCAACCCCUGUUGUUAGUUGCCAGCGAGUGAUGUCGGGGACUCUAACGGGACUGCCGGUGCAAACCGUGAGGAAGGUGGGGAUGACGUCAAAUCAUCACGGCCCUUACGUCCUGGGGCCACACACGUGCUACAAUGGCCGGUACAGAGAGCAGCCAUGUUGCAAAACAGAGC